Molecule: ribosomal RNA, 519 nt
Filed under: uncultured bacterium
Lineage: Bacteria
Description: bacterial SSU rRNA
Rfam family: Bacterial small subunit ribosomal RNA
Source: RNAcentral
AGGACGAACGCUGGCGGCGUGCCUAAUACAUGCAAGUGGAACGCAUGAUUGAUACCGUAGCUUGCUACACCAUUAAUCAUGAGUCGCGAACGGGUGAGUAACGCGUAGGUAACCUGCCUACUAGCGGGGGAUAACUAUUGGAAACGAUAGCUAAUACCGCAUAAGAGUUUUUAACACAUGUUAGAAAUUUAAAAGGAGCAAAUGCUUCACUAGUAGAUGGACCUGCGUUGUAUUAGCUAGUUGGUAAGGUAACGGCUUACCAAGGCGACGAUACAUAGCCGACCUGAGAGGGUGAUCGGCCACACUGGGACUGAGACACGGCCCAGACUCCUACGGGAGGCAGCAGUAGGGAAUCUUCGGCAAUGGGGGGAACCCUGACCGAGCAACGCCGCGUGAAGUGAAGAAGGUUUUCGGAUCGUAAAGCUCUGUUGUAAGAGAAGAACGUUGAGUAGAGUGGAAAGUUACUCAAGUGACGGUAUCUUACCAGAAAGGGACGGCUAACUACGUGCCAGCAGCCGC